This is a non-coding RNA of Oryza brachyantha (malo sina), 98 nucleotides long. NCBI's taxonomy places the organism in Eukaryota, Viridiplantae, Streptophyta, Magnoliopsida, Poales, Poaceae. The record is from Rfam.
AUUUGGAGAUGAUGAUUUGUAUCAGAGGCUGUUUCUGAGGAUGGGCCAAGCGCUCUCCAAGUGCUGCACAAGAACUGAUUUGCGGUUCUGAUCCAAAA